Molecule: small nuclear RNA, 128 nt
Filed under: Lynx canadensis (Canada lynx)
Lineage: Eukaryota; Metazoa; Chordata; Mammalia; Carnivora; Felidae
Description: U2 spliceosomal RNA (ENSLCNG00005003986.1)
Rfam family: U2 spliceosomal RNA
About the family: U2 is a small nuclear RNA (snRNA) component of the spliceosome (involved in pre-mRNA splicing). Complementary binding between U2 snRNA (in an area lying towards the 5' end but 3' to hairpin I) and the branchpoint sequence (BPS) of the intron results the bulging out of an unpaired adenosine, on the BPS, which initiates a nucleophilic attack at the intronic 5' splice site, thus starting the first of two transesterification reactions that mediate splicing.
Source: Rfam by way of RNAcentral
AUCGCUUCUCGGCCUUUUGGCUAAGAUCAAGUGUAGUAUAAUUGUUCACAGUAGUAUCUUAUGAGGCUGUGCAUUUCUGUGCCAUCAGUUGUAAUAUUUCUUUUGUUUUUUAUUUUAUUUGAGCCCAC